GAUGAACGCUGGCGGCGUGCCUAAUACAUGCAAGUCGAGCGAACGGACGAGAAGCUUGCUUUUCUGAUGUUAGCGGCGGACGGGUGAGUAACACGUGGAUAACCUACCUAUAAGACUGGGAUAACUUCGGGAAACCGGAGCUAAUACCGGAUAAUAUUUUGAACCGCAUGGUUCAAAAGUGAAAGACGGUCUUGCUGUCACUUAUAGAUGGAUCCGCGCUGCAUUAGCUAGUUGGUAAGGUAACGGCUUACCAAGGCAACGAUGCAUAGCCGACCUGAGAGAGUGAUCGGCCACACUGGAACUGAGACACGGUCCAGACUCCUACGGGAGGCAGCAGUAGGGAAUCUUACGCAAUGGGCGAAAGCCUGACGGAGCAACGCCGCGUGAGUGAUGAAGGUCUUCGGAUCGUAAAGCUCUGUUAUUAGGGAAGAACAUAUGUGUAAGUAACUGUGCACAUCUUGACGGUACCUAAUCAGAAAGCCACGGCUAACUACGUG
This 497-nucleotide ribosomal RNA is filed under the name uncultured bacterium. RNAcentral describes it as "partial 16S ribosomal RNA". It matches the Rfam family "Bacterial small subunit ribosomal RNA", at positions 28 to 507 of the family's 1533-position model. The record is from RNAcentral.